This 460-nucleotide ribosomal RNA is filed under the name uncultured bacterium. RNAcentral describes it as "partial 16S ribosomal RNA". It matches the Rfam family "Bacterial small subunit ribosomal RNA", at positions 338 to 795 of the family's 1533-position model. The record is from RNAcentral.
CCUACGGGGGGCAGCAGUGAGGAAUAUUGGUCAAUGGGCGCGAGCCUGAACCAGCCAAGUAGCGUGAAGGAUGACUGCCCUACGGGUUGUAAACUUCUUUUAUAAAGGAAUAAAGUGAGGCACGUGUGCCUUUUUGUAUGUACUUUAUGAAUAAGGAUCGGCUUACUCCGUGCCAGCAGCCGCGGUAAUACGGAGGAUCCGAGCGUUAUCCGGAUUUAUUGGGUUUAAAGGGCGCGUAGAUGGGUUGUUAAGUCAGUUGUGAAAGUUUGCGGCUAAACCGUAAAAUUGCAAUUGAUACUGGCAGCCUUGAGUACAGUUGAGGUAGGUGGAAUUCGUGGUGUAGCGGUGAAAUGCUUAGAUAUCACGAAGAACUCCGAUUGCGAAGGCAGCCUACUAAACUUCCACUGACAUUGAGGCUCGAAAGUGUGGGUAGCAAACAGGAGUAGAUACCCCUGUAGUC